This 479-nucleotide ribosomal RNA is filed under the name uncultured organism. RNAcentral's name for it is "partial 16S ribosomal RNA". It matches the Rfam family "Bacterial small subunit ribosomal RNA", at positions 331 to 801 of the family's 1533-position model. The record is from RNAcentral.
GUACACUCCUACGGGAGGCAGCAGUGGGGAAUUUUGGACAAUGGGCGAAAGCCUGAUCCAGCAAUGCCGCGUGUGUGAAGAAGGCCUUCGGGUUGUAAAGCACUUUUGUCCGGAAAGAAAUCCUUGGCUCUAAUACAGUCGGGGGAUGACGGUACCGGAAGAAUAAGCACCGGCUAACUACGUGCCAGCAGCCGCGGUAAUACGUAGGGUGCGAGCGUUAAUCGGAAUUACUGGGCGUAAAGCGUGCGCAGGCGGUUUGCUAAGACCGAUGUGAAAUCCCCGGGCUCAACCUGGGAACUGCAUUGGUGACUGGCAGGCUAGAGUAUGGCAGAGGGGGGUAGAAUUCCACGUGUAGCAGUGAAAUGCGUAGAGAUGUGGAGGAAUACCGAUGGCGAAGGCAGCCCCCUGGGCCAAUACUGACGCUCAUGCACGAAAGCGUGGGGAGCAAACAGGAUUAGAUACCCUAGUAGUCCCAUGAU